This is a long non-coding RNA of Puma concolor (puma), 220 nucleotides long. RefSeq lists it as uncharacterized. The record is from RefSeq and is a predicted model, not a curated record. Lineage: Eukaryota; Metazoa; Chordata; Mammalia; Carnivora; Felidae.
CCCUAAGUGCCUAAUGAGUGAAAGACACUUGAUAACAAAAUCUUCCAAAGAUGCCUGGUGCUCAGCACGGAGGAUGUGCACAGCGGUGUAGAGGCUCCGGCCCUGUGAUGGUCUCCAUUCUGGGCUUGCCUGGCCCCAGCUUCCCUGCUGUGGUGCUGAAAAGGGAGCUCCGAUGUCCAAGUUUGACAGGAUGAGAUGCUGUGCAGGUAGAUUGCUACAG